Molecule: long non-coding RNA, 480 nt
Filed under: Phoenix dactylifera (date palm)
Lineage: Eukaryota; Viridiplantae; Streptophyta; Magnoliopsida; Arecales; Arecaceae
Description: long non-coding RNA (PDAC_LNC021456)
Source: RNAcentral
UAGUUACAGUCAUAGAUCCUGUUGUGGAUAUGGGUUUGACCAUGGAUGGAAUGGGAACCAGAUUUUUAUACAGAUGAGUUAUAUGCCUGAGAUAAUGUAUUGAUAUAUAUUGUCCAGGUUCAUUAUGUGACGGAUUAUGUGAUUGCUGCUCUGACAGGUAGUGUGUUGUAUGUAUUGAGAUAAUCCUGACAGGUCACUAUAGAAAAAGUGAUCAUUUUGUGCAUGCAUCAUGCCAAAUUUUUCAAGAUUUAUUGAUGAUUGAUAGGUAGUAGGGUUCUACGCGGUGGCUGGUGGCCUUAUGCCUACCCGCACCCUAGGACCGUUGCGGCGGCCCGCCGGGAACGGGGCGGGGGUCGUGACAAAGCUUGGUAUCAGAGCAAAGGUUAAGAAGAGUCCUGUCAGAGCAAUAGGAUGAGUCAGGAUUAAGUAUAGGAUUAUACUAUGGAGCAUAGGAUUUUUCUGUAUAUUAAUUUAUGAGUC